CCUACGGGAGGUAGCAGUGGGGAAUAUUGGACAAUGGGGGCAACCCUGAUCCAGCAAUGCCGCGUGUGUGAAGAAGGCCUUCGGGUUGUAAAGCACUUUUAUCGGGAAAGAAACACUGUCGGCUAAUACCCGGCGGGACUGACGGUACCCGAUGAAUAAGCACCGGCUAACUCCGUGCCAGCAGCCGCGGUAA
Molecule: ribosomal RNA, 193 nt
Filed under: uncultured Frateuria sp.
Lineage: Bacteria; Pseudomonadati; Pseudomonadota; Gammaproteobacteria; Lysobacterales; Rhodanobacteraceae
Description: partial 16S ribosomal RNA
Rfam family: Bacterial small subunit ribosomal RNA
Source: RNAcentral